Molecule: ribosomal RNA, 823 nt
Filed under: uncultured Planctomycetota bacterium
Lineage: Bacteria; Pseudomonadati; Planctomycetota
Description: bacterial SSU rRNA
Rfam family: Bacterial small subunit ribosomal RNA
Source: RNAcentral
GCUCAGAAUGAACGUUGGCGGCGUGGAUUAGGCAUGCGAGUCGCGCGAGAAUGUAGCAAUACAGGACAGCGGCGAAAGGGAGAGGACAACACGGGAAUCUGCCUUGGGGACGAGGAUAGCGUCGGGAAACUGACAGUAAUACUCGAUAAUGUUUGCGGACCAAAGGUGUGACUCCGCCCCAAGAUGAGCCCGUGCCCCAUUAGCUAGUUGGCAGGGUAAUGGCCUACCAAGGCUGUGAUGGGUAGCUGGUGUGAGAGCACGACCAGCCUCACUGGCACUGAGACACUGGCCAGACACCUACGGGUGGCUGCAGUCGAGAAUCUUCGGCAAUGGACGAAAGUCUGACCGAGCGACGCCGCGUGCGGGAUGAAGGCCUUCGGGUUGUAAACCGCUGUCGUAGGGAAUCAAAUGCAUUGGGGUACUCCCCUUUGUUUGAGAGAUCCUAGGAGGAAGGAGAGGCUAAGCUCGUGCCAGCAGCCGCGGUAAGACGAGCUCUCCAAACGUUAUUCGGUAUUACUGGGCUUAAAGAGUUCGUAGGCGGCUCUGUAGGUGAGAUGUGAAAGCCCUCGGCUUAACCGAGGAACUGCGUUUCAAACCACAGGGCUUGAGGGAGAUAGGGGUAAGCGGAACAGAUGGUGGAGCGGUGAAAUGCAUUGAUAUCAUCUGGAACACCGGUGGCGAAGGCGGCUUACUGGGUCUUUUCUGACGCUGAGGAACGAAAGCUAGGGUAGCGAACGGGAUUAGAUACCCCGGUAGUCCUAGCCGUAAACGAUGAGCACUAGUCUGAGGGACUCUCACAGUUUCUCGGACGUAGCGAAAGUGU